AAUGUCGGGCUGCUUUCAGGUUCCGAGGGAUAAAGCCUUCGGUUAAACGGGAAGUCGGUGAGGUUUAAAACCAAGUCCGACGCUGCCCCCGCAACGGUAAAUAAGUUAAGAAUCAUCAUAAGGUCACUGUGUUAAACAUGGGAAGACGAUGAUUCGGGUCAAUCCCACUUAUAAGCCCGGAGACCGGCCUAAAGCGAUUCGGCGCA
RNAcentral lists this non-coding RNA (206 nucleotides) under Methylocucumis oryzae. Lineage: Bacteria; Pseudomonadati; Pseudomonadota; Gammaproteobacteria; Methylococcales; Methylococcaceae. The record is from RNAcentral. RNAcentral also lists the same sequence under 1 other name.